Molecule: ribosomal RNA, 287 nt
Filed under: Ectocarpus fasciculatus
Lineage: Eukaryota; Phaeophyceae; Ectocarpales; Ectocarpaceae
Description: partial 25S ribosomal RNA
Rfam family: Eukaryotic large subunit ribosomal RNA
Source: RNAcentral
CGGACCUCCGAUCAAGCAAGAGGACCCGCUGAAUUUAAGCAUAUAACUAAGCGGAGGAAAAGAAACUAACCAGGAUUCCCCCAGUAACGGCGAGUGAAGCGGGAAGAGCUCACGUUGUAAAUCUGACUUCGGUCCGAAUUGUAGUCUGGAGAGGCGUGACCAGCUGGAGACGGGGGCGAAGUCUCUUGGAAAAGAGCAUCAAGGAGGGUGACAAUCCCGUUCUUGCCCCCGCUUUCCAUGCGUACGGUCCGUUUUCUACGAGUCGAGUUGCUUGGGAUUGCAGCUCA